RNAcentral lists this ribosomal RNA (666 nucleotides) under uncultured Bacteroidales bacterium. Its description in RNAcentral is "bacterial SSU rRNA". It matches the Rfam family "Bacterial small subunit ribosomal RNA", at positions 67 to 721 of the family's 1533-position model. The record is from RNAcentral. Lineage: Bacteria; Pseudomonadati; Bacteroidota; Bacteroidia; Bacteroidales.
GGGCAGCAUUUCAGUUUGCUUGCAAACUGGAGAUGGCGACCGGCGCACGGGUGAGUAACACGUAUCCAACCUGCCGAUAACUCGGGGAUAGCCUUUCGAAAGAAAGAUUAAUACCCGAUGGUAUAAUCAGACCGCAUGGUCUUGUUAUUAAAGAAUUUCGGUUAUCGAUGGGGAUGCGUUCCAUUAGGCAGUUGGUGAGGUAACGGCUCACCAAACCUUCGAUGGAUAGGGGUUCUGAGAGGAAGGUCCCCCACAUUGGAACUGAGACACGGUCCAAACUCCUACGGGAGGCAGCAGUGAGGAAUAUUGGUCAAUGGGCGCAGGCCUGAACCAGCCAAGUAGCGUGAAGGAUGACUGCCCUAUGGGUUGUAAACUUCUUUUAUAUGGGAAUAAAGUUUUCCACGUGUGGAAUUUUGUAUGUACCAUAUGAAUAAGGAUCGGCUAACUCCGUGCCAGCAGCCGCGGUAAUACGGAGGAUCCGAGCGUUAUCCGGAUUUAUUGGGUUUAAAGGGAGCGUAGGUGGACAGUUAAGUCAGUUGUGAAAGUUUGCGGCUCAACCGUAAAAUUGCAGUUGAUACUGGCUGUCUUGAGUACAGUAGAGGUGGGCGGAAUUCGUGGUGUAGCGGUGAAAUGCUUAGAUAUCACGAAGAACUCCGAUUGCGAAGG